CCCGGUUCCCCCCCGUUGUUCGGGGCGGCUCCGGCGGCGGGCGGGGAGCGCGCUGAGGUCGCUUGUAACGCGCCGGGCUUGUGUGUGAGUGUGCAUAUGUGUGUGUGUGUGUGUAUGUGUCCACCACCCCGCCCCUCCACCCCGAUAUCUUUUCUCCCCCCCGUCCUCUCCCCGCACCUCGGCGAGGAGUAAGUGCCACCGCUCCGCCUUCUCCUUUUCGCAAUGUUGACGCAAUCUAUAAAUAGUGGAACAAAAGGACCAACUUCCUCGCAGCUUUGCUGAAACUGCACAAAAAAGGCAACCGGGGGGUGUAGGGGGGGCUGGAUAUUUUUUGAUUUUAUUUUUCUUCGGUUAAAAGGCGAAUCCUCCCUCACACCCAACGCUACUGGAAGAUUAUUUAUAUUUUUCUUUUUUUUUUUCUUUUUUUUUUCUUUUUUUUUUUUCCCUCGCUGACUGACUCCUAUGCUGGCAACGUCCUGCGAGUGGCUAUUUUGCUUUUGCACCGAGCGAGUGGCUUUCCCAUUCCCUCCUCUUCUGACAGAAUUAAACACUGAGGGCAGAAUCUCAGUUUCACACACCGCACGCUUUCCCCAGUGUUACAAGUGUAACGUUCCGGGGUUAGAAACUUGUUGCAAUAUGCUACUGGUGGAGGAAAAAAAAAAAAAAAAUAAAAGAGGGGGGUUUUUACUCACUCUGUGUAAAUAUUUCAGUAGUACCCGCUGUAAUGUCAAUAAAUCCGUAUCACACUAAAAAUAACAA
Molecule: long non-coding RNA, 759 nt
Organism: Calypte anna (Anna's hummingbird)
Lineage: Eukaryota; Metazoa; Chordata; Aves; Apodiformes; Trochilidae
Exons: 2
Source: RefSeq, a predicted model, not a curated record